This 92-nucleotide microRNA precursor is filed under the name Canis lupus familiaris (dog). RNAcentral's name for it is "mir-8799 microRNA precursor family". It matches the Rfam family "mir-8799 microRNA precursor family". The record is from Rfam by way of RNAcentral. Lineage: Eukaryota; Metazoa; Chordata; Mammalia; Carnivora; Canidae.
AGGGAGAGCGCCAGAUCUUGGGCUUUGUCCCCAGCGCCCUGUGCUCCCGGGCUUGCGCUGUUGGAAUUGCGCUCUUGGCCGCACAGCUCCCU